Molecule: ribosomal RNA, 527 nt
Filed under: uncultured bacterium
Lineage: Bacteria
Description: bacterial SSU rRNA
Rfam family: Bacterial small subunit ribosomal RNA
Source: RNAcentral
CGACAUCCAGCGAACUUGGCAGAGAUGCCUUGGUGCCUUCGGGAACGCUGAGACAGGUGCUGCAUGGCUGUCGUCAGCUCGUGUUGUGAAAUGUUGGGUUAAGUCCCGCAACGAGCGCAACCCUUAUCCUUUGUUGCCAGCGAUUCGGUCGGGAACUCAAAGGAGACUGCCGGUGAUAAACCGGAGGAAGGUGGGGAUGACGUCAAGUCAUCAUGGCCCUUACGAGUAGGGCUACACACGUGCUACAAUGGCGCAUACAAAGAGAAGCGACCUCGCGAGAGCAAGCGGACCUCAUAAAGUGCGUCGUAGUCCGGAUCGGAGUCUGCAACUCGACUCCGUGAAGUCGGAAUCGCUAGUAAUCGUGGAUCAGAAUGCCACGGUGAAUACGUUCCCGGGCCUUGUACACACCGCCCGUCACACCAUGGGAGUGGGUUGCAAAAGAAGUAGGUAGCUUAACCUCCGGGAGGGCGCUUACCACUUUGUGAUUCAUGACUGGGGUGAAGUCGUAACAAGGUAGGCGUAGAUGA